Molecule: long non-coding RNA, 3991 nt
Organism: Oncorhynchus tshawytscha (Chinook salmon)
Lineage: Eukaryota; Metazoa; Chordata; Actinopteri; Salmoniformes; Salmonidae
Source: Ensembl
CUUGCUGUCCCCAGUCCACCUGGUCGUGCUGCUGCUCCAGUUUGAACUGUUCUGCCUGUGGCUAUGGAACCCUGACCUGUUCACCGGACGUGCUACCUGUUCCAGACCUGCUGUUUUCAACUCUCUAGAGACACCAAGAGCGGUAGAGAUACUCUGAAUGAUCGGCUAUGAAAAGCCAACUGACAUUUACGCCUGAGGUGCUGACCGGCACCCUCUACAACCACUGUGAUUAUUAUUAUUUGACCCUACUGGUCAUUUAUGAAUAUUUGAACAUCUUGGCCAUGUUCUGUUAUAAUCUCCACUCAGCACAGCCAGAAGAGGACUGGCCACCCCUCAGCCUGGUUCCUCUCUAGGUUUCUUCCUAGGUUCUGGCCUUUUUAGGGAGUUUUUCUUAGCCACCGUGCUUCUACACCUGCAUUGCUUGCUGUUUGGGGUUUUAGGCUGGGUUUCUGUACAGCACUUUGUGACAUCAGCUGAUGUAAGAAGGGCUUUAUAAAUUAAUUUGAUUGAUUGAAACUCUUUUCUUUUGGGGGAACUAUCAUUUUCAAAUGUGUUCUAUUUUAGUCCAUGAUAUUGUUACAAAAUAGAUGUGUUGACUGAUUAGGGUAUGGGAAUAUAAGAGCAUCUGCUAGGCUAAAUUAAACUAGGCAUGCACAGCGCACCACAUGAUCCUCAAACCAAAGACUGGCCAAACUCGUGCUUCUAAAAGUGAAUUCAAAAAGGUGUUUUUCAGUUCAUUCUGAUCAGAAUGAGUUGUUCCCCACACAAGGGCUUUCUUACAGACAGAAAUACCCUCCCCCUCAUCAGAUUUGGAGGUCCUGGGCUACAUUUUUUUGUAGAUAUUUAAGGAGUGCAUGGUCACUGAAGUGAUUGGCUGACAAUCUAUGGAUGGUAGACUAUAAAUUCAUCUGUCAAACAGUGAUGAGUGACUAUGACUGCCAGUAAAACAGAUGAGGAUGGAACUGGGCCAGUGGAGCAGGCUCUGUCUCAGGACACAUCAGUGAUGACAGUGUCUCAGUGUGUUCUGGCUCUGUGGAUGCUGUUUCCUACCUGACCCUACACCAGAGGAGGAGCAGGGGCUGAUGAGCAUGCCCAAGACCAUGAUGGGAACAAUUUUAACCUGAGGAGGUGGUACAGGAUCAUGCAGUCUUCCCUGACCACAGACAGAGACAGCAGGACAACAUAGCCAGACUCUUUUCCCUCACCCUCCCUCUCCCCAUCUUCCCUCACCUUCUCCCACUAACCACACAUUUCCCUCACGCUCCUUCUCACCAUCAUCCCUCACACCACACUCUAUUCCCUCACCCUCCCUCUCCCUUUUCCCCCUCACCCUCUCCCACUAACCACGCUCUUCCCUCACCCUCCCUCUCCCCCUCUCCCACUAACACUCCCCCCCCAUCCUCACCUUCCCCAGGUGUUGCGGAGCAGCUACAGAUGAGUUUCCAGUAGCUGUUUGGUUCCCCUGCGGCCCCUACAUCCUCCGGGCCCAGCCUGCACCACCAAACCGUGGAGAGCAACCCUCCAGCCCUCCAACCUAAAAUACUGGCACCCAGCCCUGAGGGCCUGCAAGCCCAGGUUCUGUAAGAACCACUAUGCGGAGAUGGAGGCCACUCUCCUCAGGAUGUACGAAUGGCUACUGGACCGGUUCUCCUUCUUCCUGGGGGUGAAACCUGACUGUGUGUAUGAAGAAGUACUGAAGGUGGAGAGGCAUUUCCUCAGGAGCAGCAAGCCCUGGGCUAGAGCUUUAACUACGCCCACAAAGACACAGCCCAGAAAACAGCCCAACGGCAAACAAACCAGAAAAACAACUUUGUUCUCUAGGCAGCUAAAGAGAGUGACUUCAUCGGGACCAACUACUAUGGAUAGUUACUGUGCCAUAAUGCCAUGCUGACGGAUUACUUUCAUUUUUGUCUCGAUGUAACAUGAUUGUUUGCCUUUUUGUACAAAUUGCCUGUGGAUUACAAUGUGAUUACGAUGUGAUAUGAUGUUUAUGAACAUGCUGUACUUUCAGUUAUAUUAAACUAUAUUUUCUGUUAUUACAAUGAUAUACGUGAACCUUUGUCCCAGCUAUGAAUCGAGGUUCAUAAAAAUCAGACAUUUAUGCACAUACGGCUAUGCAACUCUGUUAAUUAAGGAAUACCAGACAUUUUAGGCUAAGACUACAGGCUGUCAAUUUGCGUGUUACUUUAGUUUUGAGUGUGAUGGACAGGUAAUGGGUGUUACCUGCCAUUAGUGGUUUUGGACGGCUUUGUCCCAAUUCCCGGACACUUCUAUGAAACUUUGUAGAAGCACCUAUGGCAGCGAUUACAGCUUUGAGUCGUCUUGUCUGUAUCAGCAUUGCACAUCUGGAUUUGGGGAUUUUCUCUCAUUCUUCCUUGCAGAUUUUCUCAUGCUCUGUUAAGUUAGAUGGGGAGCGGCAGUGAACAGCAAUCUUCAAGUCACUGCAGAUCAUCACCAAAUUUCACAGUGGGUGUGAGACCUGGAGAGGCCUACAAGCCACAGUGCCAGGUCAAUCAAGGUGUGGAUAGAGGACCACCAGAUCAAGACCCUGUCAUGGCCAGCCCAAUCUCCAGACCUGAACCCCAUUGAAAACCUCUAGAAUGUGAUCAAGAGGAAGAUGAAUGGUCACAAGCCAUCAAACAAAGCCAAGCUACUUACAUUUUUGCUCCAGAAGUGGCAUACAAUUGGAAAAUCUGAACAUCGCUCCCCAUGAUAGCUGUCUUUCGGAACGUGUUCCCACCUAUAAAUACCUUGGAGUUUGGUUAGAUGAUCAUCUCUUUUAAAACUCGUAACUGAGAUGGCAAAGAAGCUGUGUCAUCAGAGCACAGAACGUAAAUUGUACAGGCCACUUAUGUCAGUGCUUGAUUAUGGUGAUGUUUUAUAUAUGCAUGGAUCAGCAUCAGUACUGAAGACAUUGGAUGCAGCGUUGCGCUUUGUUACUUUUGCACACAACAUUGCCUUUUAUACACUUUGGCUGGCUGGGACUCCCUGACUUUUAGAAGGACCAGAUACUGGUUGAUAUUUGUCUAUAAAGCUGUCUUACAGAAACUUCCUAAUUAUCUUAACUCAACAAUCCAGUGGUCAAACAGAAUUUAUCAGACUCGGUCACAGGACAUGCUAGUGCUAGAGAUGCCCCAGAUUCACUCUGAGUUAGGCAAAACGGCAUUUCAAUAUCAUGCUCCACACUCAUGGAAUGAAUUGCAGAGAGAACUCCAGUUAGAUGUUUUGGUGCCUGUAAGACAGUUUAAAUGCACAUUACAUUAACUUUUUAGUAUAAACUGUGAUUUCUUUUUGUAAUGUGUUUUUCUUAUAGAAGUGUAUUUAUUUAAAUAGUUUUCAUCUCCGUCUUGUUACGGCUGUUAAAGGAAGAGGACCAAAGCGCAGCGUGGUUGGCGUACAUUUUCCUUUAUUGAAUAAAAAUGACGCCGAACAAAACAAUAAACACUACAAAACAGCUAAAGGCUAUGUGCCCUAAACAAAGUCAACUUUCCACAAAGACAGGUGGGAAAAGGGCUACCUAAGUAUGUUUCUCAAUCAGAGACAACGAUGGACAGCUGCCUCUGAUUGAGAACCACACCCUGCCAAACACAAAGAAAUAGAAACAUAGAAAUAAAGAAACUAGAAUGCCCACCCUAGUCACACCCUGGCCUAACCAAAAUAGAGAAUAAAAGCCUCUCUAGGGUGUGACACUUGUACUUUUUAUAUAUUUUCAUUUUGUUUGGUUUCAAAUUCAUAUUAAUUGCUGUGUUUGUAUUGUUGUAUCACAGGGCACAACUGUAAAAGAGACUGUCUCAGCUUGUUUCUCCUGUUUUAAUAAAGAUUAAUAAAAGAAAGUCACCCAACAUCAAUGUGAAAAACUGAUGGAGAGCAUGCCAAGACACAUGAAAUCAGGGUUAUUCUACCAAAUAUUGAUUUCUGAACUCUUCCUAAGUUAAAACAUUAGUAUUGUGUUGUUAAAAAUGAAUAUGAACUUAAUUUCUUUGCAUUAUUC